UUAAGCGACUAAGCGUACACGGUGGAUGCCCUGGCAGUCAGAGGCGAUGAAGGACGUGCUAAUCUGCGAAAAGCGCCGGCGAGGUGAUAUGAACCUUUGACCCGGCGAUGUCCGAAUGGGGAAACCCAGUGCAAUCCGUUGCACUAUCGUUAACUGAAUACAUAGGUUAACGAGGCGAACCGGGGGAACUGAAACAUCUAAGUACCCCGAGGAAAAGAAAUCAACCGAGAUUCCCCCAGUAGCGGCGAGCGAACGGGGAGCAGCCCGGAGUCUGAAUCAGCUUGUGUGUUAGUGGAACGGUCUGGAAAGUCCGACGGUACAGGGUGAUAGUCCCGUACACGAAAGCACACAUGCUGUGAACUCGAAGAGUAGGGCGGGACACGUGGUAUCCUGUCUGAAUAUGGGGGGACCAUCCUCCAAGGCUAAAUACUCCUGACUGACCGAUAGUGAACCAGUACCGUGAGGGAAAGGCGAAAAGAACCCCGGCGAGGGGAGUGAAAAAGAACCUGAAACCGUGUACGUACAAGCAGUGGGAGCCUCUUUAUGGGGUGACUGCGUACCUUUUGUAUAAUGGGUCAGCGACUUAUAUUCUGUAGCAAGGUUAACCGUAUAGGGGAGCCGAAGGGAAACCGAGUCUUAACUGGGCGUUAAGUUGCAGGGUAUAGACCCGAAACCCGGUGAUCUAGCCAUGGGCAGGUUGAAGGUUGGGUAACACUAACUGGAGGACCGAACCGACUAAUGUUGAAAAAUUAGCGGAUGACCUGUGGCUGGGGGUGAAAGGCCAAUCAAACCGGGAGAUAGCUGGUUCUCCCCGAAAGCUAUUUAGGUAGCGCCUCGUGAACUCAUCUUCGGGGGUAGAGCACUGUUUCGGCUAGGGGGCCAUCCCGGCUUACCAACCCGAUGCAAACUACGAAUACCGAAGAAUGUUAUCACGGGAGACACACGGCGGGUGCUAACGUCCGUCGUGAAGAGGGAAACAACCCAGACCGCCAGCUAAGGUCCCAAAGUCAUGGUUAAGUGGGAAACGAUGUGGGAAGGCACAGACAGCCAGGAUGUUGGCUUAGAAGCAGCCAUCAUUUAAAGAAAGCGUAAUAGCUCACUGGUCGAGUCGGCCUGCGCGGAAGAUGUAACGGGGCUAAACCAUGCACCGAAGCUGCGGCAGCGACACUAUGUGUUGUUGGGUAGGGGAGCGUUCUGUAAGCCGUUGAAGGUGUGCUGUGAGGCAUGCUGGAGGUAUCAGAAGUGCGAAUGCUGACAUAAGUAACGAUAAAGCGGGUGAAAAGCCCGCUCGCCGGAAGACCAAGGGUUCCUGUCCAACGUUAAUCGGGGCAGGGUGAGUCGACCCCUAAGGCGAGGCCGAAAGGCGUAGUCGAUGGGAAACAGGUUAAUAUUCCUGUACUUGGUGUUACUGCGAAGGGGGGACGGAGAAGGCUAUGUCAGCCGGGCGACGGUUGUCCCGGUUUAAGCAUGUAGGCGGAGGUUCCAGGUAAAUCCGGUACCUUGUUAACGCUGAGGUGUGAUGACGAGGCACUACGGUGCUGAAGUGAUAAAUGCCCUGCUUCCAGGAAAAGCCUCUAAGCAUCAGGUAACACGAAAUCGUACCCCAAACCGACACAGGUGGUCAGGUAGAGAAUACCAAGGCGCUUGAGAGAACUCGGGUGAAGGAACUAGGCAAAAUGGUGCCGUAACUUCGGGAGAAGGCACGCUGAUGUGUAGGUGAAGUCCCUGCGGACGGAGCUGAAAUCAGUCGAAGAUACCAGCUGGCUGCAACUGUUUAUUAAAAACACAGCACUGUGCAAACACGAAAGUGGACGUAUACGGUGUGACGCCUGCCCGGUGCCGGAAGGUUAAUUGAUGGGGUUAGCGGCAACGCGAAGCUCUUGAUCGAAGCCCCGGUAAACGGCGGCCGUAACUAUAACGGUCCUAAGGUAGCGAAAUUCCUUGUCGGGUAAGUUCCGACCUGCACGAAUGGCGUAAUGAUGGCCAGGCUGUCUCCACCCGAGACUCAGUGAAAUUGAACUCGCUGUGAAGAUGCAGUGUACCCGCGGCAAGACGGAAAGACCCCGUGAACCUUUACUAUAGCUUGACACUGAACACUGGUCCUUGAUGUGUAGGAUAGGUGGGAGGCUUUGAAGCGUGGACGCCAGUCUGCGUGGAGCCAACCUUGAAAUACCACCCUUUAAUGGCUGGUGUUCUAACGUAGACCCGUAAUCCGGGUUGCGGACAGUGUCUGGUGGGUAGUUUGACUGGGGCGGUCUCCUCCCAAAGAGUAACGGAGGAGCACGAAGGUUGGCUAAUCCUGGUCGGACAUCAGGAGGUUAGUGCAAUGGCAUAAGCCAGCUUGACUGCGAGCGUGACGGCGCGAGCAGGUGCGAAAGCAGGUCAUAGUGAUCCGGUGGUUCUGAAUGGAAGGGCCAUCGCUCAACGGAUAAAAGGUACUCCGGGGAUAACAGGCUGAUACCGCCCAAGAGUUCAUAUCGACGGCGGUGUUUGGCACCUCGAUGUCGGCUCAUCACAUCCUGGGGCUGAAGUAGGUCCCAAGGGUAUGGCUGUUCGCCAUUUAAAGUGGUACGCGAGCUGGGUUUAGAACGUCGUGAGACAGUUCGGUCCCUAUCUGCCGUGGGCGCUGGAGAAUUGAGGGGGGCUGCUCCUAGUACGAGAGGACCGGAGUGGACGCAUCACUGGUGUUCGGGUUGUCAUGCCAAUGGCACUGCCCGGUAGCUAAAUGCGGAAAAGAUAAGUGCUGAAAGCAUCUAAGCACGAAACUUGCCCCGAGAUGAGUUCUCCCUGAGACCUUGAGUCUCCUGAAGGAACGUUGAAGACGACGACGUUGAUAGGUCGGGUGUGUAAGCGCAGCGAUGCGUUGAGCUAACCGAUACUAAUGAACCGUGAGGCUUAACCUU
RNAcentral lists this ribosomal RNA (2903 nucleotides) under Enterobacter hormaechei subsp. hoffmannii UCICRE 3. Its description in RNAcentral is "bacterial LSU rRNA". It matches the Rfam family "Bacterial large subunit ribosomal RNA". The record is from RNAcentral. Lineage: Bacteria; Pseudomonadati; Pseudomonadota; Gammaproteobacteria; Enterobacterales; Enterobacteriaceae.